RNAcentral lists this transfer RNA (74 nucleotides) under Clostridia bacterium. RNAcentral's name for it is "tRNA-Thr". It matches the Rfam family "tRNA". Rfam says of the family: Transfer RNA (tRNA) molecules are approximately 80 nucleotides in length. Their secondary structure includes four short double-helical elements and three loops (D, anti-codon, and T loops). Further hydrogen bonds mediate the characteristic L-shaped molecular structure. tRNAs have two regions of fundamental functional importance: the anti-codon, which is responsible for specific mRNA codon recognition, and the 3' end, to which the tRNAs corresponding amino acid is attached (by aminoacyl-tRNA synthetases). tRNAs cope with the degeneracy of the genetic code in two manners: having more than one tRNA (with a specific anti-codon) for a particular amino acid; and 'wobble' base-pairing, i.e. permitting non-standard base-pairing at the 3rd anti-codon position. The record is from RNAcentral. Lineage: Bacteria; Bacillati; Bacillota; Clostridia.
GCUGUCAUCGCAUAACGGCAAUGCUCCUGCCUUGUAAGCAGGAAACGUGGGUUCGACUCCUACUGACAGCUCCA